CAUAUUUUCCGCCGAGGUCUGAAACUGAUGCCUUUAAUCGAAACCUGGCGUCACAAAUCAAGCAAACCUUUGACAGUGUCAUUAAGAACGGCCGCUUGUCAGCUAUACUUCAUGUCGGCUAGACAUAUCGCUUGGUAUCAACCGAACUUACGAAAAUUGGAACUCUCCGAGGACGAGUUUCCACAGCUCGGGGCAAACUGACCAUAUCGACCCUUCAAGAAUCUACUUUCGCGAGAUGCAGUUUGAGGGUUUUAUUUGCACAAGCAGAGGCCGAAUUUACAUUUAAAUUUUAAUGAAAAUAAUUUCAAAUAAUUUCAUUGUCUAGAGUUAACAUUAAAAUAUUGUUACCUUUAUAACACAAAAAAGAAGGAGCUGGAUCGACGUUGAAGCGAGUGCCUGCACUCAGAUUCAGAUAUUAAUAAAAAAACGCCAAAUUAAUAAAUAAA
Tribolium castaneum (red flour beetle) is the source of this 446-nucleotide long non-coding RNA. RefSeq lists it as uncharacterized. The record is from RefSeq and is a predicted model, not a curated record. NCBI's taxonomy places the organism in Eukaryota, Metazoa, Arthropoda, Insecta, Coleoptera, Tenebrionidae. The transcript has 2 exons.